CUUUCUUUCACUCAGAUGUUCAAGUACGUUUGAGAAUUGAGGUUAAGGCCGCCCCUGGAGUCGACCCAAAUGAUCCUGCAAUCAUGAAUAAACUGUUGGUAGAGAUGGGGAGGAAGUUACAAACAGAUGGUAUUUCCUCGCUCAGCUGGAAAGUGCAGUCCAAUGGAAAAGUCUUCCAGAAGGGAAAUGUAACUGAACCCUGACAGGUCAUUGCUGGAAUACAAAAGAAAACAAGCACACACUCUCUUUUAGGACAUUGGAUGAUACAUUCUUCUAUAUUUAUAAUCUGACCAUUUAAAAAU
Long non-coding RNA from Myxocyprinus asiaticus (Chinese sucker), 302 nucleotides. RefSeq lists it as uncharacterized. The record is from RefSeq and is a predicted model, not a curated record. The transcript has 3 exons. NCBI's taxonomy places the organism in Eukaryota, Metazoa, Chordata, Actinopteri, Cypriniformes, Catostomidae.